GUGCCAGCCGCCGCGGUAAUACGUAGGGUGCGAGCGUUGUCCGGAAUUAUUGGGCGUAAAGGGCUCGUAGGCGGUUUGUCGCGUCGGGAGUGAAAGCCCAGGGCUUAACCCUGGGUCUGCUUCUGAUACGGGCAGACUAGAGGUAUGUAGGGGAGAACGGAAUUCCUGGUGUAGCGGUGAAAUGCGCAGAUAUCAGGAGGAACACCGGUGGCGAAGGCGGUUCUCUGGGCAUUACCUGACGCUGAGGAGCGAAAGUGUGGGGAGCGAACAGGAUUAGAAACCCCUGUAGUCC
Molecule: ribosomal RNA, 292 nt
Filed under: uncultured bacterium
Lineage: Bacteria
Description: partial 16S ribosomal RNA
Rfam family: Bacterial small subunit ribosomal RNA
Source: RNAcentral